GACGAACGCUGGCGGCGUGCUUAACACAUGCAAGUCGAACGAUGAAGCGCUGUCUUUUUGGUGGUGUGGAUUAGUGGCGAACGGGUGAGUAAUACGCGGGCAACCUGCCCCUCUGCUUCGGGAUAAGCUUUGGAAACGGGGUCUAAUACCGGAUGUGCCUGUCUGGUCGCAUGGCUGGGCGGGGAAAGAUGUUUUUUCGGCGGGGGAUGGGCUCGCGGCCUAUCAGCUUGUUGGUGGGUUGACGGCCUACCAAGGCGUCGACGGGUAGCCGGGCUGAGAGGGUGGGCGGCCACACUAGGACUGAGAUACACCCCAGACUCCUACGGGAGGCGGCAGUGGGGGAUAUUGCACAAAGGGCGCAAGCCUGAGGCAGCGACGCCGCGUGGGGGAUGGAGGCUUUCACGCUGUAAACCCCUUUCGGCGCGGGACAGGCUUCGUUUGGCGGGGUUGAGGGUCCCUUAAAGAAGCCCGGCUAACUAUGUGGCAGCAGCCCCGCAAAUACGUAGGGCGCGAGCGCUUCCCCGCAUUAAAAGGCGUUACGCGCUCGGAAGUGGCCUGACGGGCCUUCUGUAAAAAGCCGGCUUCACAUCUCCUCGUCAAGAGGAGGCCGGGAGCCCGAUUUCUUCACGGUUGCCUUUAUUCCCGCCCAAAAGAGGAAUUGUCAGUAUCAUGAGAUUUUGAUGCCGAGGCUGUCUCUUGGCCGUUCCUGAUCUGAGAGCGAUACCCUGGGGAGUAACAUGAUUAAUCCCCCUGUAGGCCGAGGGCGGAGUCCACAUUGUGCUCCUCCUGGGGGAUCAAUUGGUCUAGUGUCUGAUGCGGAAUUUCUCCAUCAACCUAUAGGAGUCGAUAGCGGC
This 854-nucleotide ribosomal RNA is filed under the name uncultured Streptococcus sp. RNAcentral's name for it is "bacterial SSU rRNA". It matches the Rfam family "Bacterial small subunit ribosomal RNA", at positions 28 to 920 of the family's 1533-position model. The record is from RNAcentral. Lineage: Bacteria; Bacillati; Bacillota; Bacilli; Lactobacillales; Streptococcaceae.